RNAcentral lists this long non-coding RNA (684 nucleotides) under Helianthus annuus (common sunflower). Its description in RNAcentral is "hypothetical non coding rna". The record is from RNAcentral. Lineage: Eukaryota; Viridiplantae; Streptophyta; Magnoliopsida; Asterales; Asteraceae.
UCUCUCUCAAAACCCACCACCCACCUUCAUAAUCACCAUCAGUAACAUCAUCUUGUAUCAUCGUCAUCAUCAUCGACGGAAAACCUCAGCACCGCCGUCACCGGAGACACUGGAAAUCGAAGUCAUAAAACGAGAUUACUCGAACAGUUAUCGCAGAUUGAAGGUGGUAGUGGUGGGUUUACGGUGGAGGUGGAGGAGAUGGGGUAUACGGUGGAGGUAGAGGCGGUGGGUCGAAGGUGACGACGGAGGUGGUGGGUUGAAGGUGACGGCGGUGGUGGUGGGUUUAUGGUGGAGAUGGAGGCGGUGGGUUGAAGGUGUCGAUGGAGGUGGAGAUGGCGGUGGUGCUAAAACAAGAUUCGAUCUAAUCCAAUCACCAUCUCCUAUUUGUUUUCUGUUUUUGCUUCAACAUUCAUCCUUCUCGUAUGUUUUCACCUUUCUCUCUUUCUUUUCAGUUAAGAUUACUCGUUGAUGUGUUGUAUUUCAUCAAAUUCGAAGUUGAAAUCACUCGAUUGAUGCGUCAAUUCGUUUAGUUUUGGUGUACAUGGUUGAAUCUGUGAUGGAUCUUCAUUGAUUCUGCAGCCAAAACUCGAUUAGUGUAAUAGAUUGCAUUUGUUAGGAUUUUUUUUUAUGAAUAUUACGGUGUUUGGUGUUCUUAAUUGUAGACUGUUUGUUUGGGGAAGAUGA